RNAcentral lists this ribosomal RNA (253 nucleotides) under uncultured bacterium. Its description in RNAcentral is "partial 16S ribosomal RNA". It matches the Rfam family "Bacterial small subunit ribosomal RNA", at positions 524 to 776 of the family's 1533-position model. The record is from RNAcentral.
UACGUAGGGUGCGAGCGUUAAUCGGAAUUACUGGGCGUAAAGCGUGCGCAGGCGGUUUUGUAAGCCAGAUGUGAAAUCCCCGGGCUUAACCUGGGAACUGCGUUUGUGACUGCAAGACUCGAGUACGGCAGAGGGGGGUGGAAUUCCACGUGUAGCAGUGAAAUGCGUAGAGAUGUGGAGGAACACCGAUGGCGAAGGCAGCCCCCUGGGUCGAUACUGACGCUCAUGCACGAAAGCGUGGGGAGCAAACAGG